UAUUUUGACUAUACGAAGGUAUUGAAAUAAGAUUUUAAAUGAGUGCUAAGAGAAUGGUUUAACAAUUAAUAACUUUCUUUAUUUUAAAAAUUAAAUUUAAUUUUUUUUGUGAGGAAGCAAAAAUAAAAAUUAGGGACAAGAAGACCCUAUGAAUUUUAAAUUAGUAUUUAUAUUAAUUGUUAAUUUAAUAUUAAUUUUGUUGGGGCGACAGAAAAAGAAUAAUUAUCUUUUAAUAAUAAGUUAAUUUAGAUCCAUUAUUUAGUGAUUUAAUGAGAAAAAUACUCUAGGGAUAACAGCGUAAUAAUUUUGGAUAGUUCUUAUAGAUAAAAUAGUUUGCGACCUCGAUGUUGGAUUAGGAUUCUUUUUUAGUGAAGAAGUUAAAAAAAGAAGUUUGUUCAACUUUUAAAUUCC
Molecule: ribosomal RNA, 411 nt
Filed under: Ixodes turdus
Lineage: Eukaryota; Metazoa; Arthropoda; Arachnida; Ixodida; Ixodidae
Description: partial 16S ribosomal RNA
Source: RNAcentral